Molecule: ribosomal RNA, 492 nt
Filed under: uncultured bacterium
Lineage: Bacteria
Description: partial 16S ribosomal RNA
Rfam family: Bacterial small subunit ribosomal RNA
Source: RNAcentral
AUUGAACGCUGGCGGCAUGCUUUACACAUGCAAGUCGAACGGUAACAGGCCUUCGGGUGCUGACGAGUGGCGAACGGGUGAGUAAUGCAUCGGAACGUACCCAGAGGUGGGGGAUAACGCAGCGAAAGCUGUGCUAAUACCGCAUGUGAUCUGAGGAUGAAAGCGGGGGACCGAGCAGCAAUGUUUGGCCUCGCGCCUUUGGAGCGGCCGAUGUCGGAUUAGCUAGUUGGUGGGGUAAAGGCCUACCAAGGCGACGAUCCGUAGCUGGUCUGAGAGGACGACCAGCCACACUGGGACUGAGACACGGCCAAGACCCCUACGGGAGGCAGCAGUGGGGAAUUUUGGACAAUGGGCGCAAGCCUGAUCCAGCAAUGCCGCGUGCGGGAAGAAGGCCUUCGGGUUGUAAACCGCUUUUGGCAGGAACGAAACGGUGUCCGCUAAUACCGGGCGCUAAUGACGGUACCUGCAGAAUAAGCACCGGCUAACUACGUG